GUCAGUGCUAAUGGCGAUGAGGAUCCACCUGUUCCCAUUCCGAACACAGAAGUUAAGCUCAUCAGUGCCGAAAAUACUUGGCGGGCGACUGCCUGGGAAGAUAGGGCGGUGCUGACA
This 117-nucleotide ribosomal RNA is filed under the name Candidatus Blautia faecipullorum. Lineage: Bacteria; Bacillati; Bacillota; Clostridia; Lachnospirales; Lachnospiraceae. RNAcentral also lists the same sequence under 1 other name. The record is from RNAcentral.